GAAAUGCGAUACGUAAUGUGAAUUGCAGAAUUCCGUGAAUCAUCAAGUUUUCGAACGCACAUUGCGCUUCCGGGACGUUCCCUGGGAGCAUGUCUGUCUGAGUGUCCGCAACCCCUCUUCAGCUCCUUUCUUGCUGUCCAGCAAUGACAAGGCAGUUGGUGUGGUUGAGUCUGUGAUUCGUUACAGUCUUGAAAUGAAUGGAAGCACUGUCUAAAGUCAGUGACUGCACCUUCUCGCGGUGGAUGGCGCUCGUUCGCUCUCAGCUGCAGAAGGCUGCUCUCACUGUACUGGUGCAACCAGCGCAAACAGAGCUUGUCUCUGUUUCCUUUUCAUUUGGACCUCAGAUCAGGCAAGAGUACCCCCUGAAUUUAA
RNAcentral lists this unclassified non-coding RNA (372 nucleotides) under uncultured Chytridiomycota. RNAcentral describes it as "sequence contains ITS1". The stretch from base 1 to 107 matches the Rfam family "5.8S ribosomal RNA", at positions 50 to 154 of the family's 154-position model. Lineage: Eukaryota; Fungi; Chytridiomycota. The record is from RNAcentral.